ACGCUAUCACUCUACGGGAGGCAGCAGUGGGAAUAUUGCACAAUGGGGGAAACCCUGAUGCAGCCAUGCCGCGUGUNUGAAAGAAGGCCUUCGGGUUGUAAAGCACUUUCAGUAGGGAGGAAGGUAGUGUAGUUAACACCUGCAUUAUUUGACGUUACCUACAGAAGAAGCACCGGCUAACUCCCGUGCCAGCAGCCGCGGUAAUACGGAGGGUGCGAGCGUUAAUCGGAAUUACUGGGCGUAAAGCGCAUGCAGGCGGCCUGUUAAGUCAGAUGUGAAAGCCCGGGGCUUAACCUCGGAAUUGCAUUUGAAACUGGCAGGCUAGAGUCUUGUAGAGGGGGGUAGAAUUUCAGGUGUAGCGGUGAAAUGCGUAGAGAUCUGAAGGAAUACCAGUGGCGAAGGCGGCCCCCUGGACAAAGACUGACGCUCAGAUGCGAAAGCGUGGGGAGCAAACAGGAUUAGAUACCCUGGUAG
RNAcentral lists this ribosomal RNA (474 nucleotides) under uncultured bacterium. RNAcentral's name for it is "bacterial SSU rRNA". It matches the Rfam family "Bacterial small subunit ribosomal RNA", at positions 326 to 793 of the family's 1533-position model. The record is from RNAcentral.